AUUUCUUUCCCUUGAUGAGAUCAGCGACUUUCGUCAUGCAGGUAAACAAGUCCUCUCCGCUCGGGAAGUGUUAUCACGCAACAGUUUGUACUGUGUUGCUAAGCUUCAUGCAACGAAUGUAUCUCUUUCGUCAUAAAGAUGCAUAUAAAUGAAACCAGACGACUGUUUCGUCAGUUGAUCUUCAGCGAAUUCGGCUGACUGACAGAGCUUCACGAUCUUUUCACCUGUAGUAGCAUCGACUCUCAAGCACCAACCAGCAAUUUAAUUGUAUCAUCAUUCAAGCGCCAAGGUCUAAUAACUGAACACAUCCUUCACUUCUGUGAUAGAAACUGCUGUUCUCACAGAUCAGCCAGCCUCUAUGGAAGACUCUAAACAAGCUCCACAGAACGAAAACGUUCUUCCUGACCACAGGCACAGCAAAUGGAUGCAUUGGAGAUUUUUUCAAUAUUCUUCAAAGCCUAAUUUGGAUAAUGAGAUGUCAAUAGGUCAAGAUCCUGCCAGUCCAGAUUCUCUUGGCAACAGUCAAACCCAAGACAAGAAGCCAUCAUAUGAAUGCAGGAGAUGGAAGAGAAACCGAUGCAAUAAAGCAGAUUUGAAGCCAACUGAAGGUGAAGCAGCUUUAACUCAGUUGGGUAAUGAAGAUACCAAGGAAGCAUAUCCUGAGCUGUGGAAGUACAGGCAAGACUGGCAUUGCCAGUGGCAACGGUUUCAUCAAAAGAUGUGCUCAAAGCAAAGAUAUCUCUUUGCAGAGUUUGACUUUCUGUAAAAAUGUGAUUAUAUCUUUAUAACUCAGACAUUAGAGAUGGACAUAACUAUCUUGAUGCUAUCAGCUUGAUUUUUUUACUUAUUAUACCAUUAAGAAAGAAGACAAUGUUGUAAUCAUUUUGAGUAUCAUAGGCAAAAGCAAACAAAGUUUCAUAACAGAAAUGCAUGAAAAGAAUGAUCUUUGUCAUUCAGAAAAAAAAAAUUAUGAUGAAAGGCAAAAACUCCGGUUUCUUGCGUGCAGUUUCUCCGUGCAGCAAACAUUUCCCGUUUGACCCAGCUGUUGUUAAUAUGUACCAAACACCAUAGGCAGUUGGAAAGGAGAUGACCACCACCAUAGCAAAAAUCUGACCCCAACUCCCCAGCAUGAAUUACUCCCCAAUUCAUGGAAGAAUCAUUUAAAGUCUUUGAGGCACAUUUUUAUAUCGAUAACCUAAUUUCGCUGUUUACGUUCGUGUUUACGUGUAGUUUUUGUGAUCAUGCCAGAAGAAGAGUUGAAUUUUUUUUUCAUUGUGUUGCAUUUAUUUAAUCCGUCAGUAUUAAACAAUACUAAUGUGUGUCAUCCACAAUAUAUUCAUGAGUACUAUUUUAAAAAUAACUAAUGGCUUUUAAGACACACUGUAGUGCAGUUUAGUUCAGAUGAGGUCUGCCUUAAAGGAACUGCUAACUUUAGUAACAAAAAUUUGUCUACAUAAAUAGAAAUUCUUUUAGCUGUAGAAAUUCUGGUAAGAACAUUAAAACAGAUAUUAACUAUGACUUAAAAAAAGAAAUCUUGGUUUUCUUGGCAUUACUGUGUGCUUAAAACACCAACUCAGCUAGCAGGCAUUUAACUUACAGCUGUUUGUGAGAUUGCAAAGUUCAGUAUUAAAAGGAAAAAGAGCACUAGACAUGCAAACAAACAAAUGAAUCAGUCACACAUGCAAGUGGUUCAAAUAGUUUCAUUGCAAUAGUUACAAACAAAAGGCAGACCAUUAAUUUCACCAUAUGGAAUGUUACAGCAGGUUAUUUUCAAUGAUUGGCAUUUAUAAUUGUGUAAGAUUUAUUUUUUUAGAAAGCAACAUACCAUCUCAAGGAAACAUAGCCUUUCCCAUUUCCUCAUGCCUUUCUCUUCCUGACAGAGAGCAAUCUUAAAUAUGGCAGAGGAUGUUUGGAGGGACUUCAUUUUGAUAAAUCUCAUGUCUCCUUUUUUCUUAUUGUUAUUUAAAAAAACUUUUCUGGUGCAAAUUUACAUCAUGGAAAUUAUUUAAAUCUUAUUAAAUUUCAAAUUGAAAUAAAUGCAUUCUUUGAUUGUA
Molecule: long non-coding RNA, 2054 nt
Filed under: Pomacea canaliculata
Lineage: Eukaryota; Metazoa; Mollusca; Gastropoda; Architaenioglossa; Ampullariidae
Description: uncharacterized LOC112559181
Source: RNAcentral